ACAAAAAGUAAGUAAGGGCACAUGGCGGAUGCCUUGGCUCUCGGAGGCGAUGAAGGACGUGAUAAGCUGCGAUAAGCUGCGGGUAGGUGCAANNNNNNNNNNGUAGGUGCAAAUGACCUUUGAUCCGCGGAUUUCCGAAUGGGACAACCCGGUACCUUGAAGAGGUACCAUUCCACAAUGUGGAAGGCUAACGCAGGGAACUGAAACAUCUUAGUACCUGCAGGAAAAGAAAAUAAAUAAUGAUUCCCCCAGUAGUGGCGAGCGAACGGGGAACAGCCCAAACCACCCAUGUUACGGCAUGUGUGGGGUUGUAGGACCACGUCGUGGCAAGAAAGUUGGUGAGCAGAAUGUUCUGGAAAGUACAGCCAUAGAGCA
Molecule: ribosomal RNA, 375 nt
Filed under: Bacteroides uniformis
Lineage: Bacteria; Pseudomonadati; Bacteroidota; Bacteroidia; Bacteroidales; Bacteroidaceae
Description: partial 23S ribosomal RNA
Rfam family: Bacterial large subunit ribosomal RNA
Source: RNAcentral